GGUUAAGUGACUAAGCGUACACGGUGGAUGCCUAGGCAGUCAGAGGCGAUGAAGGGCGUGCUAAUCUGCGAAAAGCGUCGGUAAGGUGAUAUGAACCGUUAUAACCGGCGAUACCCGAAUGGGGAAACCCAGUGUGUUUCGACACACUAUCAUGUCAUGAAUACAUAGUGGCAUGAGGCGAACCGGGGGAACUGAAACAUCUAAGUACCCCGAGGAAAAGAAAUCAACCGAGAUUCCCCCAGUAGCGGCGAGCGAACGGGGAGGAGCCCAGAACCUGAAUCGGCUUGUGUGUUAGUGGAAGCGUCUGGAAAGUCGCGCAGUAAAGGGUGAUAGCCCCGUACACUAAAAUGCACAGGUCGUGAGUUCGAUGAGUAGGGCGGGACACGUGACAUCCUGUCUGAAUAUGGGGGGACCAUCCUCCAAGGCUAAAUACUCCUGACUGACCGAUAGUGAACCAGUACCGUGAGGGAAAGGCGAAAAGAACCCCGGCGAGGGGAGUGAAAUAGAACCUGAAACCGUGUACGUACAAGCAGUGGGAGCACCUUCGUGGUGUGACUGCGUACCUUUUGUAUAAUGGGUCAGCGACUUAUAUUUUGUAGCAAGGUUAACCGUAUAGGGGAGCCGUAGGGAAACCGAGUCUUAACUGGGCGAAUAGUUGCAAGGUAUAGACCCGAAACCCGGUGAUCUAGCCAUGGGCAGGUUGAAGGUUGGGUAACACUAACUGGAGGACCGAACCGACUAAUGUUGAAAAAUUAGCGGAUGACUUGUGGCUGGGGGUGAAAGGCCAAUCAAACCGGGAGAUAGCUGGUUCUCCCCGAAAGCUAUUUAGGUAGCGCCUCGUGAACUCAUCUUCGGGGGUAGAGCACUGUUUCGGCUAGGGGGCCAUCCCGGCUUACCAAACCGAUGCAAACUCCGAAUACCGAAGAAUGUUAUCACGGGAGACACACGGCGGGUGCUAACGUCCGUCGUGAAGAGGGAAACAACCCAGACCGCCAGCUAAGGUCCCAAAGUCAUGGUUAAGUGGGAAACGAUGUGGGAAGGCAUAGACAGCCAGGAUGUUGGCUUAGAAGCAGCCAUCAUUUAAAGAAAGCGUAAUAGCUCACUGGUCGAGUCGGCCUGCGCGGAAGAUGUAACGGGGCUAAACCAUGCACCGAAGCUGCGGCAGCGACGCUUAGGCGUUGUUGGGUAGGGGAGCGUUCUGUAAGCCGUUGAAGGUGGCCUGUGAGGGUUGCUGGAGGUAUCAGAAGUGCGAAUGCUGACAUAAGUAACGAUAAAGCGGGUGAAAAGCCCGCUCGCCGGAAGACCAAGGGUUCCUGUCCAACGUUAAUCGGGGCAGGGUGAGUCGACCCCUAAGGCGAGGCUGAAAAGCGUAGUCGAUGGGAAACAGGUUAAUAUUCCUGUACUUGGUGUUACUGCGAAGGGGGGACGGAGAAGGCUAGGCUGGCCGGGCGACGGUUGUCCCGGUUUAAGCGUGUAGGGGGUGUGACCUGGUAAAUCCGGUUGCAUAUCAACCCUGAGGCGUGAUGACGAUGCACUACGGUGCAGAAGUAGUUGAUGCCCUGCUUCCAGGAAAAUCCUCUAAGCUCCAGGUAACAUUAAAUCGUACCCCAAACCGACACAGGUGGUCAGGUAGAGAAUACCAAGGCGCUUGAGAGAACUCGGGUGAAGGAACUAGGCAAAAUGGUGCCGUAACUUCGGGAGAAGGCACGCUGGCAUGUAGGUGAAGUCCCUUGCGGAUGGAGCUGAAGCCAGUCGAAGAUACCAGCUGGCUGCAACUGUUUAAUAAAAACACAGCACUGUGCAAACACGAAAGUGGACGUAUACGGUGUGACGCCUGCCCGGUGCUGGAAGGUUAAUUGAUGGGGUCAGCCGCAAGGCGAAGCUCUUGAUCGAAGCCCCAGUAAACGGCGGCCGUAACUAUAACGGUCCUAAGGUAGCGAAAUUCCUUGUCGGGUAAGUUCCGACCUGCACGAAUGGCGUAAUGAUGGCCAGGCUGUCUCCACCCGAGACUCAGUGAAAUUGAACUCGCUGUGAAGAUGCAGUGUACCCGCGGCAAGACGGAAAGACCCCGUGAACCUUUACUAUAGCUUGACACUGAACAUUGAGCCUUGAUGUGUAGGAUAGGUGGGAGGCUUUGAAGCGUGGACGCCAGUCUGCGUGGAGCCAUCCUUGAAAUACCACCCUUUAAUGUUUGAUGUUCUAACUCGGCCCCAUAAUCUGGGGUGAGGACAGUGUCUGGUGGGUAGUUUGACUGGGGCGGUCUCCUCCCAAAGAGUAACGGAGGAGCACGAAGGUUAGCUAAUCACGGUCGGACAUCGUGAGGUUAGUGCAAAGGCAUAAGCUAGCUUGACUGCGAGAGUGACGGCUCGAGCAGGUACGAAAGUAGGUCUUAGUGAUCCGGUGGUUCUGAAUGGAAGGGCCAUCGCUCAACGGAUAAAAGGUACUCCGGGGAUAACAGGCUGAUACCGCCCAAGAGUUCAUAUCGACGGCGGUGUUUGGCACCUCGAUGUCGGCUCAUCACAUCCUGGGGCUGAAGUAGGUCCCAAGGGUAUGGCUGUUCGCCAUUUAAAGUGGUACGCGAGCUGGGUUUAGAACGUCGUGAGACAGUUCGGUCCCUAUCUGCCGUGGGCGUUGGAAGAUUGAGAGGGGUUGCUCCUAGUACGAGAGGACCGGAGUGAACGCACCACUGGUGUUCGGGUUGUCAUGCCAAUGGCAUUGCCCGGUAGCUAAGUGCGGAAAAGAUAAGCGCUGAAAGCAUCUAAGCGCGAAACUUGCCUCAAGAUGAGUCUUCCCUGGGCCUU
RNAcentral lists this ribosomal RNA (2801 nucleotides) under Serratia ureilytica. Its description in RNAcentral is "partial 23S ribosomal RNA". It matches the Rfam family "Bacterial large subunit ribosomal RNA". The record is from RNAcentral. Lineage: Bacteria; Pseudomonadati; Pseudomonadota; Gammaproteobacteria; Enterobacterales; Yersiniaceae.